GCCAAGACGAAUGAUCUGUCCGUUCUUGCAGCGAAAAGCCAGAAUCAGCGUCCUCUGUAACUCGAGAGAUCGAUGCAAUGUCUUUUUCUGGCCUAAGACAAAAAAAUAUCUCACCAGCACUCAUUUUAUUCUCUAUAAUAUAUUCUUCUAAUUGUUUUGUACUGAUUCGCUGGAGUGUUUUAAUGUAAAAGGCUGUAGUUUCAGUAUGUAGACCUUUUUCCCCAUGCCAGUGUUGAAGUCUCGAGCCGUCAGAGAGUCUGCUGCAAAUCAUUCAAUUUCACCAUUUACCAGCUCACAAAAAUCUGAAUUUAGCCGAUGGUGUGUUCUAAUGGGUGGAUUGUGUGCAAUCGCUGUAAUAUUUUAUUUUUAAAAGGUCUUAAACAGGAAUAAAGUCGUUUGUUGUGAGGUCGUUGUGAAGCCCCGCGGUCUCGCGUUGUCAAAAUAGAUGACGCAAAUCCUUCAUUUUCCACACUUCAACAGCUGAAAAACACCAACUUUUAGCUCUUGGUUUCUUCUAAUGGGUGGAUUGUGUGCAAUCGCUGUAAUAUUUUAUUUUUAAAAGGUCUUAAACAGGAAUGAACUCGUUUGUUGUGAGGUCGUUGUGAAGCCCCGCGGUCUCGCGUUGUCAAAAGAGCUGACGCAAAUCGUUCAUUUUCAAACUUCAGCAGCUGAAAAACACCUACUUUUAGCUCUUGGUUUGUUCUAAUGGGUGGAUUGUGUGCAAUCGCUGUAAUAUUUUAUUUUUAUAAGGUCUUAAACAAGAAUAAAUUUGUUUCUUGUGAGCUCGUAGUGCGAGUGCAGGAGAAGCCGCGCCGUCUCGCGCUGUCAAAAGAGCUGACGCAAAUCGUUCAUUUUCAAACUUCAACAGCUGAAAAACACCCACUUUUAGCCCUUGGUUUGUUCUAAUGGGUGGAUUGUGUGCAAUCGCUGUAAUAUUUUAUUUUUAUAAGGUCUUAAACAAGAAUAAAUUCGUUUCUUGCGAGCUCGUUGUGUCACUGCACGAGAAGCCGCGCCGUCUCGCGCUGUCAAAAAGAGCUGACGCAAAUCCUUCAUUUUCCACACUUCAACAGCUGAAAAACACCCACUUUUAGCUCUUGGUUUGUUCUAAUGGGUGGAUUGUGUGCAAUCGCUGUAAUAUUUUAUUUUUAAAAGGUCUUAAACAGGAAUAAAUUCGUUUGUUGUGAGCUCGCUGUGCGACUGCACGAGAAGCCGCGCCGUCUCGCGCUGUCAAAAGAGCUGACGCAAAUCCUUCAUUUUCCACACUUCAACAGCUGAAAAACACCCACUUUUAGCUCUUGGUUUGUUCUAAUGGGUUGAUUGUGUGCAAUCGCUGUAAUAUUUUAUUUUUAAAAGGUCUUAAACAAGAAUAAAUUCGUUUCUUGCGAGCUCGUUGUGUCACUGCACGAGAAGCCGCGCCGUCUCGCGCUGUCAAAAGAGCUGAUGCAAAUCGUUCAUUUUCAAACUUCAAGAGCUCAAAAACACCCUCUUUUAGCUCUUGGUUUGUUCUAAUGGGUGGAUUGUGUGCAAUCGCUGUAAUAUUUUAUUUUUAAAAGGUCUUAAACAAGAAUAAAUUUGUUUCUUGCGAGCUCGUUGUGUCAUUGCAC
Cyprinus carpio carpio is the source of this 1604-nucleotide long non-coding RNA. The record is from Ensembl. NCBI's taxonomy places the organism in Eukaryota, Metazoa, Chordata, Actinopteri, Cypriniformes, Cyprinidae.